Coturnix japonica (Japanese quail) is the source of this 394-nucleotide non-coding RNA. The record is from RefSeq and is a predicted model, not a curated record. NCBI's taxonomy places the organism in Eukaryota, Metazoa, Chordata, Aves, Galliformes, Phasianidae.
GGGGUGAAUAAAGGGGGGGAGGAGAACCCACCACCCACACGCACCACCCAGCGGCACCGCGCGGGGAUAACAAACUCCAACUCCAAAAACUUCCCGAGCGCAUCGAGGAACCCGCAGAGAGCCGCACAAUGAGGAGCUGCCGGGGGGUCCCGGAGUGUCCCCCCGCCACCGCCCGGUUCUCACGUGGCCCCGCGGCCGCCCCGGGCGGACACAAAGAGGAUUCAUUCUGCUUCGGGGGUGGCAUUUUUCUGUUUGGCUUUUAAUUAUCACCAUCUCCCCCCCCCCUCCCCUUAUUUCCCACCCCCCCUUUUUUUCCUCCUCCCCGUUUGUUUGCUGCUUAAUUACUAUUAAUUCUUUUCUCUCUCUCUGUAAAAAUAAACUCCCAACAUUUAGA